Molecule: long non-coding RNA, 1051 nt
Filed under: Parus major (Great Tit)
Lineage: Eukaryota; Metazoa; Chordata; Aves; Passeriformes; Paridae
Description: lncRNA (ENSPMJG00000013475.1)
Source: RNAcentral
ACACCCAGAAUAUUUUUGGGACGCAGUAAAAAGGCAAGCUUUGGAAAUGGGAAAUUAGGAUUUACUUGAGAGGCUGGGAAAACCUGGAACUGGAAUUAUUAAUAACAUGGGUGCUGGUGGGAGGGAAAUAGAGGGAGGACCCGGAGCCGCUUCAGGCUCUGAUGAAGAGAUGUAGACAGAUCAGGAAGUCAGUGGGGCAUCACAAAGGGCAGUCCAAGCCUUCCCUGUGUUUAAGGCUGCCCCGAACACGGGGCAGACUGACAGUCAUAAUGUGAUCGCAUGGAAAGUAGUACAGGAUAUAUACAACAUAAAGUGGCACAAUACAGACUUGGCUCUUCGGAAGUUAUGCAGAUUAUCAGGGUAAUAAACACUGAUCUGCUUGCUCCAUUUGAUAUUAGACACCUGGCUCAAGUGUUAUUCCAGCUUGUGCAAUUUAAAGUCGUUGAGGAUAAUUGGAGGGAGAUGGCUCAAAGAGCUGCAGAUGAGAACAUGCGUCUGCCUGUACAUAAUCCCAGACAUAGUGUUAAACUGGAUGUCCUUAUAGGAACAGGUGAUUAUUCCAAUCCUGAACUCCAGGCCUGUUGGGACUCUAGAAUCCUUGAACAAGGACAGAAAAUCAGUAUUGGAAUAUUGCUGAAGACUAUAGAAACAGCUGCUCCCAAGUCACGAUAUAUGACAAUUACUCAAGGCUUAAAUGAGCCAUUCUUGCCAUUUGUUGAGAAAAUAGCAGCGGCCUUGGAGAAACAGGCUGAGGAUGAUAACCUGAGACAGAUCCUGUGUAAACAACUAAAAAGGGAUAAUGCUAAUGAAGACUGCAGAAAGAUCAUAGGGGCUCUUCCAGGGGACCCCUCAAUAACAGAGAUGGUCCAAGCAUGUACCAAAGUAGGCUCUGUAAAGCACAAAAUGUCUGCUUUGGCUGCUGCUCUAACAUCAAAACAAGAGGGCCAUCAGGGUGGUUCAAGGAAGCAAAAAGAUGCUCAGAGUAAGGCUCAGCAGGUGAAGCAGAAGGAAAAAGGAAAGGGUAAUUUCCUGUGUGCUAGAUGUAACAAGC